Small nucleolar RNA from Danio rerio (zebrafish), 63 nucleotides. NCBI's taxonomy places the organism in Eukaryota, Metazoa, Chordata, Actinopteri, Cypriniformes, Danionidae. The record is from Ensembl.
GCUGUGAUGACACAUUCUUGAUGAUCUGUUUGAGUUGAUUGUCCUCUAAGAAGUUCUGAGCCA